Molecule: ribosomal RNA, 253 nt
Filed under: uncultured bacterium
Lineage: Bacteria
Description: partial 16S ribosomal RNA
Rfam family: Bacterial small subunit ribosomal RNA
Source: RNAcentral
UACGAAGGGAGCUAGCGUUGUUCGGAAUCACUGGGCGUAAAGCGCACGUAGGCGGAUGUGCCAGUCAGGGGUGAAAUCCCGGAGCUCAACUUCGGAACUGCCCUUGAUACAGCACGUCUUGAGUCCGAGAGAGGUGAGUGGAAUUCCUAGUGUAGAGGUGAAAUUCGUAGAUAUUAGGAAGAACACCGGUGGCGAAGGCGGCUCACUGGCUCGGUACUGACGCUGAGGUGCGAAAGCGUGGGGAGCAAACAGG